ACUGAAAGUGAUGAUUGUGUGCAGGAUGAAGAAGAAAAGGUUCAUCAUUCCUGUCUCUUGGUUUUGAAAAAAAAUAACCUCUUGGGAAGCCAUAGGAAUGGCAAUCUAUGUCUAAUAUGGAUUUGAAACUUUAGGAGUCAUGAAGAAGUUAACUGCAGUGAUUUCUAGACUUUAUAAUAUACUCUCCUUUUAAAAGACUCAAGUUGAGAAACCAUUUGAGCCCCUUGUAGUGGACCGGUAAUAAAUGAUUAAUUCAUGGACAUUAUUAAUAGUUAUUGUUUCUCUGCAGUUCCCAAUGAGAUGUACAAGGGGCAGCUUUCAUCGGCUUAGGAUAGAUAUGCAUGCUCACUGGACAGCUGAUAAAAAGGACUGGGACUGGGCUUUGCAACAGCUGGUUUACUUAGAUUGGUAGCAGUGAAGAGAAGAGAAGAUGCUUCAGAUAACUAACAGGAAAUGUGAAAGAGGAGCUUCCAUUUUUUUCUGAAAUUAGGUGUCUACUUGUGGUUUAUGAAAUAGGCUUUACCCACUCUGACUAGCUUGAAUAUGAGGCUGUGUCCACGCUGCUUUUGAUAUAUUGCAGAACCACAAAGAGGAGCAAGAGAGCUUGACUCACCCUUCACAUGAGCUCAUCCCAGUCUGUGCAGCUGUGUGGUAUUUUUAGGCCUUUUCUCUCUUUUCAGGGUGCACAUGGAGAAACAGGAGUAUGUUCAAUUUUUUUGUGCAGAUGUCUGAGCCAACCAGUCCUGGUUUUAUGUCAACAGUCUCUGUUCAGAUGACUGAUGGCUGUAAUGGAUAAUGCUGCUGUACUCAUUUACUUUGAUUUCUCUUGCACUGGAAGCCUUUGACUUGAUGAUGUAUUUUUUAUAUUCUUCCAAUAGUGGAUAUGAAACCAUUGCAGCUGUUUCUCAGAUCUGAGAGGGAAUUUGUGCAAGGAUAAAUGGUAGUGCUUUUUAUUGCUUUUCAUGGAGUCAUCUUAAACCUCAUGUAUGGAAAGCUCCAAGUAGAGAAUGUGUCCAGUGGAGUGAAUUAUUUGUUUUACAGAAUAAGGAAUACAUGUGCAGAACAGUGUAGCUUUAUUGUCUUUGCAUCAAAGGAUUCCUUCUGAGAUACUUUUCAGUAGAACAAUGCUUUGUUGGUUCUUUUUUUUGUUUUGUUUUGUUUUCUCUACACAUUUCUUUGCAAGAAAGCACUUACUGCUGUUCUGUGAAUCAUGUUUGAAGGAAACAGGCCUGAAAUAACAUUCUCUCAUCGUAAAAUGAUUUGUGUGUUGCUGUUAAGAUCAGAAGCUUUUCUGACACUGAGGGUGAGAUACAUUUGAUGUAUGUACUUCAGACAGUUACAUCUGUGGUAGUUUCUCUUCUUUCCAUGGUUAGUAAAGAGAAACAGGAACUAACAAGGAGUUACCCUGCUCAUUUUAGGUAUCUGCUUUAGAUAACUUGAGAAGAGUCUAAGUGACUUUCUCUUCGUUGUAACAGGAGUCAGCAAGAGAUGUACUUUAGUCAGGUGAAUCCCACUCUUAGAGUAGAAAACCAGUUUAACUCAAGGGUUACAGUCUUUUGGGGAAAAUGCUGAUCAAGACCAAUGGACCUUUCCAGACAAAGUUUUUCACAAGAAAAGGCUUCUUUUUCUGGUGUUACAGAGAAUGUGACCUGAAUCAAUUGGAAUUCCAUGGAGAUGGAAGAACAAGGAUGGUGGUUAUUAUUUAGUCUUUUUUUGUUGUUUUUAAAGAAGAGUAAAAUCCAUUGCUGAGAUAUGUUAUACUUGACCUUCAGAAAAAAAAAUAAAAAUCUGAAGAGUAUAAAAUAUGGAUUAAAAACACUUAAGGGCAGCCUGUCCUUUCCAGAGAAAUAACAAAUAAAGGAGUUCAACUAUUAUGUAAAUGAAUGUUCUUAGAGAAGGAAUCUCAAGAAUUUUUAGUGGCUGAGGAGUUGAUACAUACUCAAGGUUAGUGCCAUUUAAAAGUAAAAUUGGAUUUAUCUGACAAAGAUUUAGACCUGUUUCCUGACUGCAUACAUAAAAGAGAUAUUUUAGCAAUGGGUUUUGCUCUAAUACAUCGGCAACGGUGGGAGUUUGUCUAGAACAGUAAAUGCAAGAAGACUAAUAGCCAUGAUUAAAAAGAAAUAAAAUAACUUUGAAAAUGAACCCUCCUCAUAAAUACCAGAAUUUAUAUUAAGUUAAAAUGUUCAAUUAAAAUUAUCCAGAG
RNAcentral lists this long non-coding RNA (2203 nucleotides) under Anas platyrhynchos (mallard). Its description in RNAcentral is "lncRNA (ENSAPLG00020006823.1)". Lineage: Eukaryota; Metazoa; Chordata; Aves; Anseriformes; Anatidae. The record is from RNAcentral.